CGGGCAAAUCAACAUGAUCCUCAUCUAAUUUUGAAAUCAUACUAAAAUAUUUGUUCAACAAAUUACAUUUCUCCUCAUCUUCAUAUACAGUAUCAUUCAGUUCAUUAUCAUUUAUAAUAUUUUGGAGAGGGGGUAUGGUUUCUGAACCUUUUUUGGAUUUAAUUAACGUUUUCAUUAAUUUCCAAUACGUUUUUGAGUUUGAGGGUUGUUUUGAUAUUAGACAGUCCAAAUUUGUUUCAAAAUUUUCUUUGGCGAUUUUUUUCAUAUUAUUUACCUUAUUUCGUUGUUUUUUGUACUUCAUAAUAUUAUUUUCACAAUUAUAUUUAAUC
Molecule: long non-coding RNA, 329 nt
Filed under: Mytilus galloprovincialis (Mediterranean mussel)
Lineage: Eukaryota; Metazoa; Mollusca; Bivalvia; Mytilida; Mytilidae
Source: RNAcentral